Molecule: long non-coding RNA, 1042 nt
Filed under: Malus domestica (apple)
Lineage: Eukaryota; Viridiplantae; Streptophyta; Magnoliopsida; Rosales; Rosaceae
Description: long non-coding RNA (MDOM_LNC007021)
Source: RNAcentral
CCAACCACAAAACAACCUUAAACUUCCACCAACGACGGAGUUAAGACCACCAUCGAACUCCUGGAGACUCCACGAUCACGUAGACACCAAUUUCAGGUAAGUUUUACUUCGGAAAACCUAGAUUCUAAACUCCCCGUGAAAGUGCACUGUUCAUGAUCUUCGAAUUGACUUUGUUUUAGGACAAUCCAAGCUCACAGUGAGCUUAGUGAGGUUCCAAGGAAGCUCGGAGCUCGGAGUGCUUCGUUGGAAGUUUUUGGACGUAAGAACACGGAGAUCGAUAAGUUCAAAGUUUGGCCGGAGCUUUCGAGGCAUUUUCCGGCGAAUCCCCGGCGAGUUAGGCGUCGAGGUAGGUAUCAAUCUCUUCGUCUCGUCAAGUACUACAACUUUCCUUUUUGUUUCACUCAAUUUCGUUGAGUAUUGAAGAAGUUAUACUCAUUUGAAAAAUACCCAGUUUCCGGCGACCUCUGAGGCUUUCGAGGCAGUUUCCGGCCAAACUACGGCGAACUAGGUGUUGGGAAAGGUACCAUUCUCUUUGUCUCUUCAAGGGCUACAACUUUCGUUUUUGAAUCACUUGAUUUCGUUGAGAAAUGACAAAGUUAUGGCAAUUUGAAAAACUGCCCAGAAAACGGCCGCCGGAAAAACCAGUCCGGCGACCCAAGGAAGAAGAAGGUGCUACAGUAAAAAUAAAAAAUAAAAAUUAAAUUAUUUUAAAAAUAUGUCGACGUCCGUGACGUCGAGUAGAUCACUGUGGUAUAUUCAUAUACCUAAAUUGAACACCGUAUGAGAAAGUUAUUGAAGAUUGUUGGUUAGGUGUUCAAAUAACGUUUUAUAGUUUUCACAUUUAGGUGAAAAAUGUGAAUUGAUGAUCCGACCGUUGGAUCGUCACCAAACUUUGAUACGUUGUAAUACGUAAUAUUUUGAGGAUUAUUGGAACUUACGGAUUGGGAAUCCGAGUUACGGAUCUUCCGGAAUUGGAAUUGUAAGUCCAUAAUAUAAAAUGUUAACCGUCACUUAGUUUUGGAAAUUGACGGAGAUCCGACCG